Molecule: transfer RNA, 83 nt
Filed under: Leptospiraceae bacterium
Lineage: Bacteria; Pseudomonadati; Spirochaetota; Leptospiria; Leptospirales; Leptospiraceae
Also listed under: 3 other names
Description: tRNA-Tyr
Rfam family: tRNA
About the family: Transfer RNA (tRNA) molecules are approximately 80 nucleotides in length. Their secondary structure includes four short double-helical elements and three loops (D, anti-codon, and T loops).
Source: RNAcentral
GGGCAGAUUCCCGAGUGGCUAAAGGGACCAGACUGUAAAUCUGGCGGCAUUCGCCUUCGGAGGUUCGAAUCCUCCUCUGCCCA